GACGAACGCUGGCGGCGUGCCUAAUACAUGCAAGUAGAACGCUGAAGGAGGAGCUUGCUUCUCUGGAUGAGUUGCGAACGGGUGAGUAACGCGUAGGUAACCUGCCUGGUAGUGGGGGAUAACUAUUGGAAACGAUAGCUAAUACCGCAUAAUAGCAGUUGUUGCAUGAUAACUGUUUGAAAGGUGCAAUUGCACCGCUACCAGAUGGACCUGCGUUGUAUUAGCUAGUUGGUGGGGUAACGGCUCACCAAGGCGACGAUACAUAGCCGACCUGAGAGGGUGAACGGCCACACUGGGACUGGGACACGGCCCAGACUCCUACGGGAGGCAGCAGUAGGGGAACUUCGGCAAUGGACGGAAGUCUGACCGAGCAACGCCGCGUGGGUGGAGAAGGUUGUCGGAUCGGAAAGCUCUGUUGUAAGGGAAGAACGAGUGUGAGAGUGGAAAGUUCACACUGUGACGGUAUCUAACCAGAAAGGGACGGCUAACUACGUG
Molecule: ribosomal RNA, 495 nt
Filed under: uncultured bacterium
Lineage: Bacteria
Description: partial 16S ribosomal RNA
Rfam family: Bacterial small subunit ribosomal RNA
Source: RNAcentral